ACUGAGCGGCGGACGGGUGAGUAACGCGUGGGUAACCUACCUCAUACAGGGGGAUAACAGUUAGAAAUGGCUGCUAAUACCGCAUAAGACCACGGUACUGCAUGGUACAGUGGUAAAAACUCCGGUGGUAUGAGAUGGACCCGCGUCUGAUUAGGUAGUUGGUGGGGUAACGGCCUACCAAGCCGACGAUCAGUAGCCGACCUGAGAGGGUGACCGGCCACAUUGGGACUGAGACACGGCCCAA
This 244-nucleotide ribosomal RNA is filed under the name uncultured bacterium. Its description in RNAcentral is "partial 16S ribosomal RNA". It matches the Rfam family "Bacterial small subunit ribosomal RNA", at positions 90 to 334 of the family's 1533-position model. The record is from RNAcentral.